RNAcentral lists this unclassified non-coding RNA (242 nucleotides) under uncultured fungus. RNAcentral's name for it is "partial contains 18S rRNA, ITS1, 5.8S rRNA, ITS2 and 28S rRNA". Lineage: Eukaryota; Fungi. The record is from RNAcentral.
AAGGAUCAUUAAUUUGGAUGAACAUGUUUCUCAGCAUGACAUUUCAAACCCCACCUGUGUAUCUUACCCGUUGCUUCCGUGCUGCCCACGCCGCAAAGGCGUGCCUCCUGGUCCCGAGUACUCAGGGCCCCGGGGAGCCGGCACGGGAGGUUAUAACCACAAACUCUUGCCUUUGAAUGCCUUCCGUCUGAACUGUAUUGAAUGAAAAGUUAAAACUUUCAACAACGGAUCUCUUGGUUCUC